CAUAGCGUAAUGGAUAGCGCAUCGGCCUCCGGAGCCGAACGUGCGGGUUCGAAUCCCGCUGAGG
RNAcentral lists this transfer RNA (64 nucleotides) under Intestinibaculum porci. It matches the Rfam family "tRNA", at positions 6 to 65 of the family's 71-position model. Rfam says of the family: Transfer RNA (tRNA) molecules are approximately 80 nucleotides in length. Their secondary structure includes four short double-helical elements and three loops (D, anti-codon, and T loops). Further hydrogen bonds mediate the characteristic L-shaped molecular structure. tRNAs have two regions of fundamental functional importance: the anti-codon, which is responsible for specific mRNA codon recognition, and the 3' end, to which the tRNAs corresponding amino acid is attached (by aminoacyl-tRNA synthetases). tRNAs cope with the degeneracy of the genetic code in two manners: having more than one tRNA (with a specific anti-codon) for a particular amino acid; and 'wobble' base-pairing, i.e. permitting non-standard base-pairing at the 3rd anti-codon position. The record is from RNAcentral. Lineage: Bacteria; Bacillati; Bacillota; Erysipelotrichia; Erysipelotrichales; Erysipelotrichaceae.